GUUACUUCGGUACAUCGGUGACAGGUGGUGCAUGGUUGUCGUCAGCUCGUGUCGUGAGAUGUGGGUUAAGUCCCGCAACGAGCGCAACCCCGCCGUUAGUUGCCAGCGGUUCGGCCGGGCACUCUAACGGGACUGCCCGCGAAAGCGGGAGGAAGGAGGGGACGACGUCUGGUCAGCAUGGCCCUUACGGCCUGGGCGACACACGUGCUACAAUGCCCACUACAAAGCGAUGCCACCCGGCAACGGGGAGCUAAUCGCAAAAAGGUGGGCCCAGUUCGGAUUGGGGUCUGCAACCCGACCCCAUGAAGCCGGAAUCGCUAGUAAUCGCGGAUCAGCCAUGCCGCGGUGAAUACGUUCCCGGGCCUU
RNAcentral lists this ribosomal RNA (366 nucleotides) under uncultured Thermus sp. RNAcentral's name for it is "bacterial SSU rRNA". It matches the Rfam family "Bacterial small subunit ribosomal RNA", at positions 1014 to 1382 of the family's 1533-position model. The record is from RNAcentral. Lineage: Bacteria; Thermotogati; Deinococcota; Deinococci; Thermales; Thermaceae.